RNAcentral lists this ribosomal RNA (379 nucleotides) under uncultured bacterium. RNAcentral's name for it is "bacterial SSU rRNA". It matches the Rfam family "Bacterial small subunit ribosomal RNA", at positions 790 to 1167 of the family's 1533-position model. The record is from RNAcentral.
GUAGUCCACGCUGUAAACGAUGGGUACUAGAUUAGGCGGGUAUUGACCCCUGCCGAGUCGGAGCUAACGCGAUAAGUACCCCGCCUGGGGAGUACGGUCGCAAGACUAAAACUCAAAGGAAUUGACGGGGGCCCGCACAAGCGGUGGAUCAUGUGGUUUAAUUCGAAGCAACGCGAAGAACCUUACCUGGGUUUGACAUCCCCUGACACCCCUAGAAAUAGGGUUUUCGUAGCAAUACGACAGGGAGACAGGUGCUGCAUGGCUGUCGUCAGCUCGUGUGGUGACAUGUUGGGUUAAGUCCCGCAACGAGCGCAACCCUUGUCCUUAGUUGCCAGCAUUAAGUUGGGCUCUCUAAGGAGACUGCCGUGGUUAACACGGA